RNAcentral lists this long non-coding RNA (522 nucleotides) under Equus caballus (horse). RNAcentral describes it as "lncRNA (ENSECAG00000045726.1)". The record is from RNAcentral. Lineage: Eukaryota; Metazoa; Chordata; Mammalia; Perissodactyla; Equidae.
CAAAUAUUCACAAACUGAUCACAACCUCGGAAUCAGCACCCAAACAGGAAAUGGAGCACAACAGAAGCCUCCUUGGUGCCCCCUUUCAGUCCAUACAUCCCCUCCUCCCCCAGAAUGACUAUCCUGACUGUUAAUACUCCGUAGGACGCAGCAAGGGCUACCAUCUGCAAGCCAGGAAGACAGCGCUCACCAGGAUCCAAAUCAGCCAGCACCUUGAUCUUGGACUUCCUAGCCUCCGGAACGCUCCCCAGUACGUAGCUGUAUGUUCCAGUUGUAGGUCCUUCUGCUUGUGCUAUGUGAGAUGCCACCUCAGCAUGGCCUGAUAAGCGGUGCCAUGUCCACACCCAGGAUCCGAACCGGCGAAACCCUGGGCCACUGAAGCAGAGUGCACGAACUUAACCACUUGUAUCUUUUGACAUUAGAGAAAAUAUUGAAAAUAUUCCUUUAACUGUGUCUUUGGGCAUCCUUCCACCAAUCACAUCACCGUCCUACUGAGACAAACCGUGCAAUGGAUUAUCCCAA